CCAGGCCGACGACACGGGCUCUUUCACCACUACGAGGAAAAAGAAGGCGAGAGGCAUCGGCGUAACUCCGAACGCCACUCUCCAGGAGCAGCAGCAGCAGCAGCACGCCGCCCAUAUGCACACCUUCUCUGCUCAGCGCAGCCGCACGCCAUACCUCGUAAUUCGUUUUGACUCGACAGAGGUGAAGGACGUACGCGCUGCUGCUCGCCGUCAGCCACUCCCCGCCACAACCGAGGGAGGAAGAGGCGUAGUAGGUUGAAUCACUCUUCUACUUCGCUCUUGUAUCUCUCUCGCUUUAGCCCAACGCUUUCCUCCCCUCCCCCUUUCAGUGGCGUAGGACGUGCUCCACGGAUAUCUCUGUCCACAAAUCACGAUUGCGGAUACCUUCUGUUUUCACUCAUAGAUGUGCAGAUACCCACCGGCGCGCACGUGCGAUUCCAUCUGCCACCGCUGUCGCUACGUGCGUCUCUUAUAUCGUAGCAUCAGUGAGCGUUUUCGUCGACAAGCAUGCAACCGCCGCCGUCGUUGUCACUGCAGCGGGGCGACAGUCCACAGAAAACGGUGUGCACACAGCAUGCUCAUGAUGCCGCUUCGGCUGUGGCUGCGGGUCAUCGAGGCGCGUCAUCGCUACAUGUAGCGCGAGCAAUGGAGGCAGCCGAAACAGCUACGCCGUCGACAUCGCGGGUGCUAGCAGAGCCUUCUCGACCUCUAGGGCAGAAGCGACAGGCACCGGCAGCCUGCCAGCGUCUUCAGCGACGCCGCGGCAUGGACACGUUGCCUGCGAUUGGCCGCCUUGAGGCUGCGCGCUGUGUGACCAACAGGGACUGGCUUCAUCCCUUACGUGCCCUGCAGCGGCAACGGCAGACGGCUGCAGAGGCGUACAUCCCCUAUACCAUCGCUGUGGCAGAGGCCGAGAACCCCCAGCGAGCUCGACUUGCGCUCGCCACCAUGCCAUUGGACUGGGAUUGCUUUAAAACGAAAUGCGCAGACGACCUCAGCGUUCCGUGGCCGUCCUCUGCCAAGGCGUACCGAGAUGUCGACGCGGUGAUACCCGCGCAGAAACGUCUCUCUAAUGUUGACUGCAUUCGCCGGUCGUCUUUCGUCGCCACAGAACCACCGCCGCGACGGCUCCUCAUUCAUGAGCCUCGAUCGAGAUCCUGUCAGGGUGGCGGUUCUUAUUUUUCAGCUGCAUACUCCACCACCUCGCGUUGCGGCGCUAGCGUGCACACGGGCACCAAGGAUGAAAUGGCUGAUACGCUGGCUGUAAAGGUCGAUGCGGUGACUCCGACGCGGGAAAGCCCGGCACACAUGCCGGCGUUACCGGCGCUGGAGAGCGCUGCAGACUCAGAUGAGCACCUAAGCUGCAUCUCUCGGCAGUAUGCACGACUCGACCGUUUGCUCAGAGGCUACAGCACCCCAGACCACCACAAAAUCGUUCCUUCCCGCGUGGUGCCUAACGAAACACCUGCGGCGCUGUCACCAGAGCUAGCGCCGCCUUGCCUCUACCCUCAACCGCCCCCCUCCACCAGCGUCGUGAGCCUCGUCGUACAGCCGUCCAUUCAGCUUUCGCGGCGUUCCUCUCUCUCCCUCGGGGCCCCAUUCAGCUCCUUUCAUAUCACGCCCGAAGCGCAGCUCACGCGCCUUUCGGUCACGCAGGUGCAAGGACUGCCCUCCUUCGCUUCUCUGACUGCCGCCACGUCUGGUGCAGUCACGACACCAGUGGGCGGCGCAAACAACACCCUCCGCCACUUCCGCGCAGGAAACCGACUGCCGCAGCACCCCCGCCGCCGGCAUAGCGCAAGUUCUCAAGACCUCUCGAACAGCCACUCUCGACACCACCGCCCCUCCACCACAAGGCCUCCAUAUACCGGCGGACAUGCCGCACGCUUUCGGUGUCAUUGUGCUUGCGUCACGGAGGGGCACUUUCACAACCUCCACCACCAUGAGCAGCAGCAGCGCGCACACGUCGCUGCAGAUGCCGACCGCGCCCUCAGCACCCUACGCGCCUUGCACAACAAGUACUCCCAGUAUUUGCAAGUGACCCGUGGCCAGCCACACAACUGCACAGCAGCCGCUGAACUACAAGAAGCAUCGCGCCUCUUUCCUCUUUAUCCGUCCGUAAACCUGAAAAACCGACACACAGACCAGCAUCACCGCCGCGAGUCGAGCAAUUUCUCCUACACACAACACAGGAAAAAGCCCGAGAGCAGCGCAAACGCAACCACUCCGCAGGAGGCGUACGAGGGCGUGGGGGAGGCUGACCGCGCUGCCGCUCCGCAGGAGGCGUACGAGGGCGUGGGGGAGGCUGACCGCGCUGCCGCUCCGCAGGAGGCGUACGAGGGCGUGGGGGAGGCUGACCGCGCUGCCGCUCCGCAGGAGGCGUACGAGGGCGUGGGGGAGGCUGACCGCGCUGCCGCUCCGCAGGAGGCGUACGAGGGCGUGGGGGAGGCUGACCGCGCUGCCGCUCCGCAGGAGGCGUACGAGGGCGUGGGGGGAGGCUGACCGCGCUGCCGCUCCGCAGGAGGCGUACGAGGGCGUGGGGGGAGGCUGACCGCGCUGCCGCUCCGCAGGAGGCGUACGAGGGCGUGGGGGAGGCUGACCGCGCUGCCGCUCCGCAGGAGGCGUACGAGGGCGUGGAGGGGGCUGACCGCGCUGCCGCUCCGCAGGAGGCGUACGAGGAGCUUGAUUUCAGUGGUGUUUUGUUUGCUGGCCGCGGUGUGCAGAUUCGGUAUGAUUGUGGUGUGGUGAGGAUCCCCGAUUCGGAUGGGAUUGUGGGAAGCGGACGGAAUCUCGACGAUGCAGAUGUGAGACGGGGCUACCGCUGCGGGGCGCCGGAGGCGAGGUGGGAUGCUUGCGGCAAUGUUGCGGACGUGUGUGCUUGGUUUCGGGAUUUAACGGUUGAUCCGGGCACGGAGGAGAGUGGCGUAGGGGAGGUUUUCACGGAGGCUUGCGGAUUGCGGCGUGCAGUGGUUACGUGUAUUGAGCACCUGUUGAGGGGUCCCAACUGGCGUGAGCACUUGGUGUCGUGUGCUGCAAGGAUACGCGAGCUGGUGAUUGCGGAUGUGAGCGCUAUGCUGGAUUGUUCUGCGGCAUGUGUUCGCAAUGUUCGGCUUUACGCCGCUGGUGCUGCAGCAGCUGCUGGUGAGGCGGCUGCACUUGGCAGAAUGGAGGAUGACAUACUGCGCAUUGAACUGGACGUUAUUCAAGAGGCCGCAGUGGCACUGCACCCGCUAGGCGGGGUGCAGUUCCUGCUAGAUGGCUGCAGUUUUCCUUAUCUUCAACAAUGGCGGCGUAGUCGCGACGAGUUGAAGUGCAUGGGUGGGGGUGUGGCGCACGGGGCGCUUUCUUCGCUUUCGAAAGUGGCGGCGCUAUCCACCAACGUGGAAGGCGACGAGAGGAGUGGCGGGGCGCAGGGGGUUGAGCUGCAGCUGUGGGCGUACGCCACCAAGGGUGCGGCGGCAAGAUCCAGGGGGCGUUCUGUUGUGAAACGACUCCUAUUGCCAUUAGCGCGUGUGGUUUACCGGCCGGAGCGGCGAAACUGUAGCGAGAGCAGCCUUGGCUCACUCACCCAUGUAGAGCAGCAGACGGCUCUUUCUGAUCCCACAUACGGUGCCUCAUCAUGCAGGUUGGUGGAAUCGGCCCUGCGGCGGGAGGUCCACACGUGCAAACUCCCUGCGUCCGGGCAAGCCCCACCAGGACCAUUGCCGACACAGCCGGUGCGAUCGAUGCCUUUGCAGAUGGCGACACCGUCCGGUAUUGAGGAAAUCAUAAAGCAGGAGAAGGAGAAGGCGUGCAACUUGACAGCCAUCCGUCCCGUUGCUACCCUGCUUACAGUGCCUGCAGAGACACUCGCGAUGACGUCGCAGCCCACUGAGAUGGCGGGCUUGCCGAAGGAGGAAGCGCACAAGGCAAGCCCAAGGGGUUUUUUUUCUUGGAAGCGUAAGUACACGUGAAGCCCGCCUACCUGCCCCUCCUCAGUUUUCGAUGUUGUUUGUACGUCUGCAUCGUCAUGUUGGAUCGGACGGUGUGCAGAGGCGCUGAAAGAGGCAGAGGUGAAGAGAGCAUAGCGUUGCACUGCUGCUGAAACACUGCCAGAGAAGUGAUUGCUGUGCGUGGCUUGUGAUUGAGCGCGUGAUAUGGAUAAAGACUGUGUGUGUGUAGACAUUACUCACCAGUCUCUUCUCCCCUCCCCAUUCCAUGAGCUCCCACCUUUCUCAUUCCAUAUCCCUUCGUGGCCCAGCGGCGAUCGCUCUUGCGUUUCUUAAGGGUGUUUCGACAUGCUCCGACUCUCUAUCUCUUCUCUAUCCGUGUGUGCAUGUGCUGGCUCGCUUCUUUUCGUAUAUAUAUAUAUAUAUAUAUUUGUCAUCAACGCACAAAAUAGAGGAAGGGCGUGCGUGCGCUUGCACCUGUGCACGAGUGUGGGUAAGGGCGCUUGCCUCGCCCACACCGACCAUCGCCACCCCACCCCCUCUCUCCUUCCUUGUAUUUUUUUUACUUAUCCCUUCUGUCUGUCGGUUUCUGUGUGUCCGCCUUGUUGUGCACCACUGUGGCUGACACACACGCUUCUCUUUUUUCACCAUACUCAUGCAUGCGCCCGCGUAUAUGCGUGUAUGUGCGUGGGAAGGCUUGUAUGAAGCGAAAACCUUCCCACAUAUUCCCCUCCCCCUUCCGCUGUCUCUCUCUUCACCUGUCCUACGGCAUGGCGUCGUUCUUUUUUUUGUUUACUUUCUGUUGCUUCGUAUGUUUGUGGAUAUGUGUGGGUGCCGCGUAUGACGCCCCCUCUUUCCUCCCCUCCGAAAACACCCACCCACCCACACCCACACACACACACACACACACAGCCCACCUCUCCUCCAUGCCAGCUUGGAUUACAUCGUGUGCGUGUGUUUUGUGUGAGUGAUUUAAUGUAUCGUCUAUGUACAGCUGAGCCCCCCCUCCCCCCAUCCCUGCCCGUCUCUUUCUCUUGAGAGAUACAUGCAUAUAUGCAUUCACAUACAUAUACGUACACGCAGGCAUAGAAGAAAGCCCAAGAGGUACAGGAGAGGGACUAGAGGCUGGACGGCCACCCCCUUCUCCCCUCCUCUUCGUAUGCCUGUAUAUGCCUGUGCGCGCGUGUAUCUUUCUGUGUCGACCUCUGUCGACACUCCCCACCUGUACCGAUGUUUAUAUAUGAGUAUUGGUUUGAUGGUGUUGGCGCGUUCGACGGUGGUGAGGUAUUGGAUGCUCCCCUCUCUCUCCCGCACGCCGUGCAACGUUGAUGAUCAUCUUUCC
Molecule: unclassified non-coding RNA, 5271 nt
Filed under: Leishmania donovani
Lineage: Eukaryota; Euglenozoa; Kinetoplastea; Trypanosomatida; Trypanosomatidae
Description: gene:LdHU3.26.2860(pseudogene-product:-)
Source: RNAcentral